Molecule: ribosomal RNA, 491 nt
Filed under: uncultured bacterium
Lineage: Bacteria
Description: partial 16S ribosomal RNA
Rfam family: Bacterial small subunit ribosomal RNA
Source: RNAcentral
AGUGAACGCUGGCGGUAGGCCUAACACAUGCAAGUCGAACGGCAGCACAGUAAGAGUUGCUCUUACGGGUGGCGAGUGGCGGACGGGUGAGGAAUACAUCGGAAUCUACUUUUUCGUGGGGGAUAACGUAGGGAAACUUACGCUAAUACCGCAUACGACCUACGGGUGAAAGCAGGGGAUCUUCGGACCUUGCGCGAUUGAAUGAGCCGAUGUCGGAUUAGCUAGUUGGCGGGGUAAAGGCCCACCAAGGCGACGAUCCGUAGCUGGUCUGAGAGGAUGAUCAGCCACACUGGAACUGAGACACGGUCCAGACUCCUACGGGAGGCAGCAGUGGGGAAUAUUGGACAAUGGGCGCAAGCCUGAUCCAGCCAUACCGCGUGGGUGAAGAAGGCCUUCGGGUUGUAAAGCCCUUUUGUUGGGAAAGAAAAGCAGCAGGUUAAUACCCCGCUGUUCUGACGGUACCCAAAGAAUAAGCACCGGCUAACUUCGUG